UUGUAUCUUAAAAUUAUGAUUAGAAAAAAAAUUAUGAUUAGACCAGAAUCAAACCGUCAAGUAUGUAUGUAAACAACUGUCCACCCGGUAUCAAAACCAACCUGAAUUCGAAAUACUUCAUCUUGUUUGAAAUAAUAAAAAAUUUCUCACCAAAAUAAACAUCAUGUUAUUAGGUUUCAUGAGUUUUUUUUUAUUAUUUGCUCUCUUCUCCUCGGUUUAUUUCAGUCUAUUAUUUCUAUGGGUUAUGUAGUGUAUGAAUUCCUAUACUCUUAUAUCAUUUUUAACGUUAACAAUCAUCAAUACCAAAUCAAGUUACCAAUAUAUCUUCAUCUAAAGAAAAAACAAUAACUAAGAAAUAAAUAAGAAUCAAUAAGGAAACAUCUCCUCAUCUUUGCUCAUGAUUGUUAGGAAGAGAUCCGAUAUAGCCAACGCGGAGAACGAACGGGGUAUAUAUAGUGUAUGUCAUAGAGAACUUAAAAUGGGUUAAGUUCUCUAGCAAAGCUCAAAAUAUUACCAUGGCUACUACCAUGCUCCAAGUUGUUGUGAAUCCAAAGCUUGCCUUCAUUGAACUUAGCAGAUACUAAACAUUUAUUUAUCCUGCUCUACAUGUAUAUAGUACUAG
This 622-nucleotide long non-coding RNA is filed under the name Capsella grandiflora. Its description in RNAcentral is "long non-coding RNA (CGRA_LNC000305)". The record is from RNAcentral. Lineage: Eukaryota; Viridiplantae; Streptophyta; Magnoliopsida; Brassicales; Brassicaceae.